UCCGGUUGAUCCUGCCAGAGGCUACUGCUAUCGGGGUCCGACUAAGCCAUGCGAGUUGAGAGGGGUAAGCUCUCGGCAUAUUGCUCAGUAACACGCGGAUAACCUGCCCUUGGGUUUGGGAUAACCCCGGGAAACUGGGACUAAUACCGGAUAGAUCAAAGAUACUGGAAUGUUCUUUGUUCGAAAGCUCCGGCGCCCAAGGAUGGGUCUGCGGCCUAUCAGGUAGUAGUGGGUGUAACGUACCUACUAGCCUACGACGGGUAAGGGUUGUGAGAGCAAGAGCCCUGAGAUGGAUUCUGAGACAUGAAUCCAGGCCCUACGGGGUGCAGCAGGCGCGAAAACUUUACACUGCGGGAAACCGCGAUAAGGGGACCCCGAGUGCCAGCACCUAGUGCUGGCUGUCCAGCUGUUCAAAAAACAGUUGUUAGCAAGGGCCGGGCAAGACCGGUGCCAGCCGCCGCGGUAACACCGGCGGCCCGAGUGGUAGCCGUUAUUAUUGGGUUUAAAGGGUCCGUAGCCGGCCUAUUAAGUCUCUUGGGAAAUCUGGCGACUCAAUCGUCAGGCGUUCAAGAGAUACUGGUAGGCUUGGGACCGGGAGAGGUGGGAGGUACUCCAGGGGUAGGGGUGAAAUCUCGUAAUCCUUGGGGGACCACCGAUGGCGAAGGCAUCCCACCAGAACGGGUCCGACGGUGAGGGACGAAAGCUGGGGGCACGAACCGGAUUAGAUACCCGGGUAGUCCCAGCUGUAAACGAUGCUCGCUAGGUGUCAGGUGCGGUGCGACCGCAUCUGGUGCCGUAGUGAAAACUUGAAGCGAGUCACCUGGGAAGUACGGUCGCAAGGCUGAAACUUAAAGGAAUUGGCGG
Molecule: ribosomal RNA, 864 nt
Filed under: uncultured ANME-2 cluster archaeon
Lineage: Archaea; Methanobacteriati; Methanobacteriota; Methanomicrobia; Methanosarcinales
Description: bacterial SSU rRNA
Rfam family: Archaeal small subunit ribosomal RNA
Source: RNAcentral